RNAcentral lists this ribosomal RNA (921 nucleotides) under Bacillus subtilis. Its description in RNAcentral is "bacterial SSU rRNA". It matches the Rfam family "Bacterial small subunit ribosomal RNA", at positions 41 to 937 of the family's 1533-position model. Lineage: Bacteria; Bacillati; Bacillota; Bacilli; Caryophanales; Bacillaceae. The record is from RNAcentral.
GGCUUNCUAAUACAUGCAAGUCGAGCGGACAGAUGGGAGCUUGCUCCCUGAUGUUAGCGGCGGACGGGUGAGUAACACGUGGGUAACCUGCCUGUAAGACUGGGAUAACUCCGGGAAACCGGGGCUAAUACCGGAUGGUUGUUUGAACCGCAUGGUUCAAACAUAAAAGGUGGCUUCGGCUACCACUUACAGAUGGACCCGCGGCGCAUUAGCUAGUUGGUGAGGUAACGGCUCACCAAGGCAACGAUGCGUAGCCGACCUGAGAGGGUGAUCGGCCACACUGGGACUGAGACACGGCCCAGACUCCUACGGGAGGCAGCAGUAGGGAAUCUUCCGCAAUGGACGAAAGUCUGACGGAGCAACGCCGCGUGAGUGAUGAAGGUUUUCGGAUCGUAAAGCUCUGUUGUUAGGGAAGAACAAGUACCGUUCGAAUAGGGCGGUACCUUGACGGUACCUAACCAGAAAGCCACGGCUAACUACGUGCCAGCAGCCGCGGUAAUACGUAGGUGGCAAGCGUUGUCCGGAAUUAUUGGGCGUAAAGGGCUCGCAGGCGGUUUCUUAAGUCUGAUGUGAAAGCCCCCGGCUCAACCGGGGAGGGUCAUUGGAAACUGGGGAACUUGAGUGCAGAAGAGGAGAGUGGAAUUCCACGUGUAGCGGUGAAAUGCGUAGAGAUGUGGAGGAACACCAGUGGCGAACGCGACUCUCUGGUCUGUAACUGACUCUGAGGAGCGAAAGCGUGGGGGAGCGAACAGGAUUAGAUACCCUGGUAGUCCACGCCGUAAACGAUGAGUGCUAAGUGUUAGGGGGGUUUCCGCCCCCUUAGUGCUGCAGCUAACGCAUUAAGCACUCCGCCCUGGGGGAGUACGGUCGCCAAAGACUGAAACUCAAAGGAAUUGACGGGGGCCCGCACAACCUUUUGAC